Molecule: long non-coding RNA, 7849 nt
Organism: Marmota monax (woodchuck)
Lineage: Eukaryota; Metazoa; Chordata; Mammalia; Rodentia; Sciuridae
Exons: 3
Source: RefSeq, a predicted model, not a curated record
CCCCGCCGCCCACUGCGAACAAACACCCCUCUGUGUGCCCUCCCUGGCCGGGCCUCCCGGGAGGGCCCUGCAGGAAGCAGGAUGUUGACCGGAGUCUGUGCCCAGUGGCUCCUUGGGCGGGUGGACCCAGCCACGUUUGAGGAAACUGAGGCUCAUCAGAGUAAGAGAUCCAGCUGAACUGGGAACAGGUGUUGGUGUGCCCCUACUCUGCCCCAUGGUAACAUGGCGAGGACAGGUCUUUCCUUUUCUCAUGUCAGCUGGUGAGAUCUGGCCUGAAGUUGUGAAGAGGCUGGGCAAGGGGGUGCGCAAUAAAGGAGCUGACUCGCUAAUGCAACUGGAGUUUGGUACAUUCAUACCUCCUGGAGUAUCCUGGAACAGCCCUGGAUCCUAUGGGGCAUUAAGCUUUCCAGGCUUGAGGAUGUCAAAACACUGCUAUGAGGUCCCCAUCCUCUAGGCCCAGGCCUGCUUCAGCUGUGUGCGUAGCCUGGGCCUGCUCUUGCUUGCCUCGGUAUCCCAACUGUGGUGAGGCCUUGGAGAGGUGGCAGGGAUGUUUCACCCUGGGUACUUGGAAGCUGCCCAGUCCACUCAGAGCAACCUCCGUGUACCCAGCUCUCUUCUCACAUGGUCAGUCUCAUGCAUCUGGGAAGGGGAGUGCUCUCCAGCCCGUCUCCUCCUUGGUCUACCAGUCAGGCCCUCAUCUGCCCAGUCAGCAUAGUGAUGGCCUGCUCUUCCUUCUUCGCCAUCAAGAGGCUCCAACACUAACACUGGGGGCAGCAGUGGGGAACAAACCUACUUCAGCUCCUGUGCUCCUAUAGUUUCGUCAUGGGAGAGGAAGGUAUCCUAGAACUCAUCCAAUCCAGCCCUGCCAUUUUAUAGAACAAAAAAAGGCCAGGUCUUAAAGCUGUGGCCACUCACUGCAGCUUGGGACAGGGAUAUGAGCUUGCUGGCAGGAAGCGCAGUGUCUGCAAGUGCGUUGAUGGUGACGCACGUCCUUGAGUGAGCUGCAGAGGGGGUGUGUGGAGAGACUGGAAGGUGGCCUUGGAAGUUUAUUCCAGGCACAGAUUCUCUUCCCCUAAUCCUUACCCCCUCCUUUUUUCCUUUUCAGCAGCAGUUAUAAAACCCAGGAAAUAAAUGUGGACUGAUGGCCUGUGAAGGGCUUAGUUAGUGCUGUGACCUGCUGAGUUAUGUAACUCCUAUUUAUUAUCGGCCUUGGAUGAAAUUUCCAUUGAGGCAACUCACUAAGCUCAUUCUGUGACAUUUUCUUGUGCUUGCUUGGAGGUGGCAGCAGCAGAAAUUCCUCUGCAACUUCAAAGACAGAAAUGGUGGUGUAGAUACUUUCAGAAAUCCCUUUCUUUAAUCCUUUAGGCCAAUGUUUCUCUCACCCCUUGAAAAAAUUGUUCACGCGGGCACAAGCUCCAGGACCUGGCCCCUUUGGGUCCCUCGGCUGUAAGUGACCAUAGCCUGACUGAGGAAAGGUAUUUCCUUCAUGCUGGGGUGAGAACCAGGGGCUGUGAGAAUCUACAAGAGCUGAGGAGAAAGGGCGCUAAACUGAGUCCAGAGUUCUAGUCCAGUCUCCACCGCUGUAUAACAGCUGCUCUUGGCCUCAGCCUGCUUACUGGUAGAGUGAAUGAGUUUACCUAUCUGUGUACUUCAACCCUCAAAAGUGUGGCAAGCUCCUUGGUCUGCUUUGCUUGCCAUGCUGGGGGUGACAGCCCAGUGGGGACAGAGGGGGAGGGAUGAGGGAAGGUUAGUGCCAGUAGGGCUCCACCUUGUGUUCAAAAGGGAGCAGAGCUGCUGUCUCCUCGACUCCCUUCCUGCUUUGGGAGGGGGUGGUACUGGAAGAAUUAAGCUUCACCUCUGAGCCCUUCACCUUAGUAGCCAAAAGGGCCCUAGGAAGAAGCUAAGGGUUCUGAUGCCACACUAAAGUAGACUUUUGGAGACCCCUUCUCAGCUUUAAGAAGAAAAAGACUCAAGGGAAGUCCAGGACCCACAGAACUCAACAGUGCCUCUUCAUAAUCAGGACAUAUUCCUCUCAUUACUGAUUCCUUGAUGCCUUAGGUACAAUCUGGUGCAUCAAAACAGCUUGUACCAAGUGACUAUGGCUGCAUUAAUUCCUAUCAUAAAGGAUCUGGGUAUGCUCCUUUAUGUUAAGUGACCAUAGCCUGACUGAGGAAAGGUAUUUCCUGGGAUCUGGCUGGGCAUGAAGAAGGCCACCGUUCAGACAAUCCAAACUGCACUUGGCCCAAGAUAAGAUUGAGGGCCCACAGAUGAUUUUUGAAGGACCAGGGGCAGAAAGGGGCUAAAUUUUACAAUCCUUCAUCAUGACUUGGUUUUUGAGCUGGUUUCAUAUUACAGUAGAGGGGUCUUUGAAAGAAAGAGCUGUCACCUUGGGGUUCCAGAAACAUGACUUUAAUAUGAAGUGGAAUGGUCUGAUAAACCCUCAACUGAGCGGUGAUCAGGACAUUAUAGCUCCAGGCAAACUCUCCAAGAUAGAACCAUAGAUGGCCUACACAAUAAAAGUCUGCUCCCAAACCAGGCCCAAACACAGCAAGAGGCAAACACCUGGAAAGUCACUCCUGGAUUUCAAACUCAAAGAAACAUUAGCACAUGUCUGGGCAUAGCCAAAGGUAGGGGGAAAUAAGCUUGAUGAGAAAGGGCAAUGGAGCUGGGCACACUGGUGUCCAUCUGUAAUCUGAGGGGACUUGGGAGGCUAAGGCAGGAGGAUUGCAAGUUCAAGGCCAAGCCUGGGUAACUGAAUGAGUCCUUGUCUCAAAAUAAAAUAAAAAGGUCUGGAGAUGUGGCUUGGUGGUAGAGCAUCCCUGGGUUCCAAAGAGAGAAAGAGAGGGAGGGGCAGUGCACACAAGAAAUCAAGGCAUCAGUAGGGGAAAAGAAACAUAUUUCUUCAUUGUUGAGUAAUAUUUAACAUGAUCUUAUUUGUUUCCUCCAAUAAUCUUAUCACAGACCAUCAUUAGCAUACUACUUAUGAAGCAAUUCAAGUUUUUGAAAGACUAUUCCACUCUUUGCAUGUUACCUGAGAUGUCCUAAAAAAUAUUUUGCAUUCUUGCUUGAAAAGACUAAUACUGAGCUCUUAAAUCAGGUAGACAGCAUAUCAUUCUUCUUGCCACCAUUCCACACCCUACUGUGCAUCUGAUGUUAAUAUUUAGCUUUUUUAUGUUUAGUCUCCACCCAUUUAUAUAUAGUAACUGAGAUAAUUCUUGUCAUAAAGCAUUAUGAAUAACAGAUACCAAAGAUGUUUUGAUGGCAUCUAAAAUGCCAAAUCUACUAUUUUCAUGCUUUAACAUGCCCCUUAGCAUUCCUGCAUCAGAAUGAAAUUAACUAUUAGAUGCAAAAUAUGGGUUUUUCUUGGCUGGGUGUAGUGUCACAAGCCUAUAGUCCCAGCAACUUGGAAGGCUGAGGCAAGGCCAGUCUGGGCAACUUAGUAAGACCCUGGCUCGAAAAUAAAAAAUGGGGCUGGGAUUGUGGCUCAGAGGCACAGUGCUCACCUAGCAUGUGUGAGGCACUGGGUUCAAUCCUCAGCACCACAUAAAAAUAAUAUAUAGAUAUUGUGUCCACCUAUAACUAAAAAAUAAAUAUUAAAAAAAAAUAAAAAGGGCUGGGGAUAUAGUUCAGAGACAGAACACCUCUUGGUGAAAUCCCCAGUAGCACAAGCAUACACCCACAAUGGGUUUUCUUGUGUUUAGCUUUCAUAGAACACCCCUUUUCCUUAAACCGUGGAGGGCAAGGCAAUAGAGCAAGGUAUGUGUCAGUCCAAGGCACUUCUACUUGAGGAAUUACUUUCCUUAUAGGAAUUACCUUCCUCAAAGUAUCCUAAACAAGGCCUGAAACAUUAACAAGUAGACUGAAAAUAAGGAUAAUUCUGCUUCUGACUAGCACUGCAGCCAAUUUUUCUCUUAUUUUUGUCACAUUAUAAAGCAGACACCAUACUAGUAUCAUUUGUUCAACUUGUGCUUCUAAGGAACAGACACCUUUGGGGUUUUCACCAUUUCUGAGUCUGCUUCCCCCUACUGGUCUCCAUCUCCUUGAGGGUGUCUUACCUGUCUUCACACAUGUGACACCUGGGAACUCCAAAAGCACAAUGCUGAGUGCCAGGCAGGGUAGGUGGUUUGUUGGUUGCUGUCACAUGUUACUUAGUCAUCACAAGAACCCCUUGGGAAUUCUUUAUUUUUUGAGCAGGGGCACUGGGGAUUGAACCCAGGGGCACUUUACCACGGAGGAUCCCCAGCCCUUUUUAAUUUUUUUUUUCUUCUUAAGACAGGGCUUCACUGAGUUGCUGAGGCUGGCCUUGAAAUUGCAAUCCUCCUACCUUAGUCUCCCAAGUCGCUGGGACAACAAGAGUGUACCAACACUCCUGGCUCUCUUUGGGAUGUUACUCUCACCUCAGAGUAAAGAAACUGAAGAGUGAAGUGACUAUCAAAGAGUCACAAAAUUAAGAAACAUUAGACCAGGGCUCAAACCCAGUUCUCUUGGACUGGAAGUCUAACACUUUUCUGCUCACCUGAAGUAGCCCUGGUGUUCAGUUGAUCUGGUUAUAGCACCAGCGAGGUACCUGAUACUCUCAACUAAACUUGUUUACCAACAGGCAAGGACUUUCUGAUAGCCAGGCCUCUGAAUUACCUGGGAAUGGUAAUAUUCUCCCCAAAGGGUUUCUCUGCAGAUCACCUUAUGAAUUUUUGGGCCAAAUACUUGGAAAAACUGUUAGAUGUUAUAAAAAUGAAGCUAGGCAUGAUAAGUAAAAGGUACUUUUUUUUCUAUGAAAAACCAUCAGAAGAUAGCCUUGCCAAGUGAAUUCAGACUUAAGAGAGAUGAAAUAUUCUCUUCAAGCUUUUAAUGUAUCAGUAGGUUCAAAGUAUCCUAAACUUCAAUUGUCCAUGAAUCAAAAAAAGAAAGACUAUUAUGUUGGGCUUGGGGUGAGUCUGCUCGCAGGCCACAAUGUUCAAGUUAAAACAGGCUAAAAAUGAAUGAAGCUGUGUGCUCCUGGAAAACAAGUGUUUGUGAAUCCAGCUGAGCUGCUUUGAGUUGCCUUUUUCUUUUUUUCCUGUGGUGCUGGGGAUUGAACCCAGAGCAUUGUGCAUGCGAGGCAAGCACUCUACCAACUGAGUUAUAUCCCCAGCCCUGCUUUGAGUUCCUUUAAGCAGAUGUUCUCAAUAGGAGGAUAAUAAUCAGCUGGGUAACUAUAUCAGUAGUCUGAUAUUCCUGAGGGGAAGAAGGGAAAAAAAAGUAUUCUGCAAAUAGCUCCUGGGGUGAUUCUGUUCAUACCUCCCUCUCCUGGUUCAGCUGAGAACUGCGGCUUUAAGUUAAAUUGCUAUUUCCACUGAGCAGAGGUUUAUUUUGUCCACCCCUCUUUUGGGGCCUCCAUUCAAAUCAUAACUCCUUUGUGUCUGUGGGUGGGAACCACUGUACUGCUUGAAUAUGGUGAAAAGCAAGGAGUUAAGCUAUCUAGCUUCUUUUAUACAAUGUCGUUCUGAUAAAUUGGAAACUCUAGUAAUCAAAUCCCACCUACCAGUUGCCGGGCCUCAUGGCAGAUUGGGCAGCCCUGAACCUGCAAGCAAGGUAUGGUUUUUAUCUGUAUAGACAAUAAAGCAAGGGAAAUCAGAAACAGGGUCACAAAACCAGAGGGUUACAACUAGGGUUUUUCUUAGAUCACCUGACUAAACUACCUUCCCCUUUAAUACAAGAGAAUUCACAUCCAAGGAUGUGAGUGGUAAAGCACUUGCCUAGCAUGCACAAGACCCUGAGUUGGAUCCCCAGCACCACAAAAAAAAAAAAAAAAAAAAAAAAAAAAACCCACAAAAAACUCCCAAAUGUUAUGUUAAUGUGACCUGCCUAGAGUCACUGUAGGCGUAAAGCCUGGACCCACAGCUUUUUUUCCCACUACCCUGCUCUAUCUCCCUAAAGAAAAUGGAUUUAGAUGGGUGUGACAGUGCAUAACUGUAAUCCCAGCAAGUUCAAAGCCAGCCUGGACAACUCAGUGAGAUCCUGUCUCAAAAAUAAAAUUUAAAAAGGGGCUGUGGAUCUGCAGCUUACUUGGAGAACAUUUACCUAGUAGCAUGCAUGAGACCCUGGGUUCAAUCCCCACUACUGGCGGGGUUGGGGUGAGGGGUCAGUUUAAAAUGAAAUGUAUUAUUACCUAAUAUUUAAGGCAGUCUGAAAAAUCUAUCAAACAGUCCUUAAUAAAUUGAUUACUGCCUCUUUAAGAGCUGGUAGCUUAAGCAGAAUCUCUCUACUAAGGCCUGAGAGGCAGUUCUCUCCCUGGUACUGGGCAGGGGUCUAUAGGCUACAGUUCCAGUUAUGACCAUGGGGCUCCUGCCCUGUUCCCAACAAAAAACAAAAUGAAUGUCUUCUGUCUUCUGUUGCCAUUUUAACCUCUUACUAGAGGGAUCAAAAUAUGGCUAAACAGGAUGCAACAGGACUGACUAAUCAAUUUCCAAAACAAUGCCUUGGCAGGCUCUAGAGGGCGGAAGAAGCAGGUGCGUCAAGGUCCUACCAAGUCAAGGAGUGAGUCAGGCUAUUGGUUAUGUUAUAGAGCAUCCCACCUCACUGGACAGAUAACUGGUGAAAUGUCCUAUCAACAUGACAAAUGGGAUGACUUUCACUAUCACACAAGAAUCCCAAUGAAGACACACAAAAUCCACUGGAUCACACUAAAGACCAGUGCGCUGAAUGGGAUUAACUUUAUAUCAUCCUUCCUCUAAGAGUCUCUCCAAAGCAAGAGAUCACAAAUAAGCACACCAUAUUAUCAGAAUCCCAGCACAACCUGUCUCUUAUCACAGAGUAAUCUGGCAAAGGGUAUAUCUUAGUGUCAUGAGUGGGUUGUCACUCACCACUCCUACAUCUCUAGACAGUCCUCUUGUCCAUUACCUACAUCUCAUUUGAACACAUGAGCCAAGCGGCUCACCCCACUGCUCACCUUCAGACAAUGGCAAAUGACAACAUUCUGGACCCUGAGAAAUGAUAUGUUUGAUGGAGAGAUUAUUGGACUUUCAAAUAAAACCCAAGUUCAGACCCCUGGGAAAAAUAAAAAGGAAACAAAACACAAUGGACCUCAAACAUGUUUCAUAUACAUAUUUAUAUAUAUUUCAUGUACAAAGUUACAUUCCGAACCCCAGGGAUUCCAUAAUAGAAAUAAAUACUGAAAUAACUACAUUGCUAAGUGAGCUUUUUGCUCAUAGAAACAAAGCCUCAGCCUCUAAGACAGUCAAGUGGGACACUCCAGAAUCCCACUUUAUGGAGGCAAGUAAAAUUCUGGAUAAGAUGUCUAGAACAAAAAACAAAUUUAGAACAUAAAUUGUUAAAAUAUAUUCAAAUAUUGAGAAAUGCAAGACAAAAUUAAUAAUAAAACUUAAUUAUUUAAGAAAAAGACAAUUAGUGUUACAGAAGAGCAUAACCCUGUUAGAAAAGCAUUGAUGACUUCCACAUUUCAUCUUCUCUCCUCCUCUUCCCCUGUCACAAAGUGAGACCAAGUAAGUCACUUUCUCAACAUGAUCAAUUAAGAAGAGCCCUACUGGCAAUGAAGCAUGGUGGUAGAGCACUUGCCCAGCAUGCACAAGGCCCUGGAUUCCAACCCUAGCACCAUGGGGUGGAAAAACAGGGCAAAGAAAAGCCCUAACUCUGGUUGAGUCCUUUGGUAAAGGUCAUAAUACUCACAAGAAAAUAAAUAUUCAGUUCCACAGCAUUUCCAAGACACACAUCCUUUAGGACAGUUAAUAUUAUGAGAUGUUUUAUUACUAAGGCAGCCUAUGUCAAGAGUUCUCUUCUCAAAUGCAGGAAGAAACGAAAAAUAUUGCAACUGAGAAUCUUUUUUUUUUUUUUUUUUGUAUUGGGGAUUGAA